ACUGAAUAUGUUCCGGUUAUUACCCGGGUGGCAACUCCUAUCUAUCUAUGUCUUUGUGGCAUAAAUCUUUAGUAUCGUGGUAGUGUUAUGGAAGACGAUACUUAUCAGUGGUUUGAUUCUAUUAGGAUUAUAUGAAGUGCAUGUCUAGGAAAUGUUGUCUAAGAAGGUGGUACUUAACUAAAACCAUUGUGACUCUACCAUCUUUCCUGGGCAUUACCUGAUAUAUUUUAUAUAAUUCUAGUGGAUGA
This 248-nucleotide unclassified non-coding RNA is filed under the name Hevea brasiliensis (rubber tree). The record is from RNAcentral. Lineage: Eukaryota; Viridiplantae; Streptophyta; Magnoliopsida; Malpighiales; Euphorbiaceae.